RNAcentral lists this ribosomal RNA (459 nucleotides) under uncultured bacterium. RNAcentral's name for it is "SSU rRNA". It matches the Rfam family "Bacterial small subunit ribosomal RNA", at positions 26 to 518 of the family's 1533-position model. The record is from RNAcentral.
AGAAUCAACGCUGGCGGCGUGCCUAACACAUGCAAGUCGCACGAGAAAGGGUAGCAAUACCUGAGUACAGUGGCGCACGGGUGAGUAACACGUGAAUGAUCUACCUCCGAGUGGGGAAUAACUGAGAGAAAUCUUAGCUAAUACCGCAUAAUACCCACGGGUCAAAGCAGCAAUGCGCUUGGAGAGGAGUUCGCGGCCGAUUAGUUAGUUGGCGGGGUAAUGGCCCACCAAGACGAUGAUCGGUAUCCGGCCUGAGAGGGCGCACGGACACACUGGAACUGAAACACGGUCCAGACUCCUACGGGAGGCAGCAGUGGGGAAUUUUGCGCAAUGGGGGAAACCCUGACGCAGCAACGCCGCGUGGAGGAUGAAGCCCCUUGGGGUGUAAACUCCUUUCGAUCGGGAAGAUAAUGACGGUACCGAUAUAAGAAGCCCGGCUAACUUCGUGCCAGCAGCCGC